CCUACGGGGGGCAGCAGUGGGGAAUAUUGCGCAAUGGGCGAAAGCCUGACGCAGCGACGCCGCGUGAGGGAUGAAGGUCUUCGGAUCGUAAACCUCUGUCAGCAGGGAAGAACGGUCACUGUGCUAAUCAGCAGUGACUUGACGGUACCUGCAAAGGAAGCACCGGCUAACUCCGUGCCAGCAGCCGCGGUAAUACGGAGGGUGCGAGCGUUAAUCGGAAUUACUGGGCGUAAAGCGCUCGUAGGCGGUAUGUCAAGUCAAGGGUGAAAUCCCCGCGCUCAACGUGGGAACUGCCUUUGAAACUGGCAAACUGGAGUGUGUGAGAGGAUAGUGGAAUUCCAGGUGUAGGAGUGAAAUCCGUAGAUAUCUGGAGGAACAUCAGUGGCGAAGGCGACUAUCUGGCACAUAACAGACGCUGAGGAGCGAAAGCGUGGGUAGCAAACAGGAUUAGAUACCCUAGUAGUC
This 465-nucleotide ribosomal RNA is filed under the name uncultured bacterium. RNAcentral's name for it is "partial 16S ribosomal RNA". It matches the Rfam family "Bacterial small subunit ribosomal RNA", at positions 338 to 795 of the family's 1533-position model. The record is from RNAcentral.